GACGAACGCUGGCGGCGUGCUUAACACAUGCAAGUCGAACGGAGAAGCCCUGGCUUGGUGGGGUGGAUGAGUGGCGAACGGGUGAGUAACACGUGAGUAACCUGCCCCUGACUUUGGGAUAAGCGCUGGAAACGGCGGCUAAUACUGGAUACGAGAACGGGCUGCAUGGGGGCGGUCGGGAAGGUUCUGCGGUUGGGGAUGGGCUCGCGGCCUAUCAGCUUGUUGGUGGGGUAGUGGCUCACCAAGGCGACGACGGGUAGCCGGCCUGAGAGGGUGACCGGCCACACUGGGACUGAGACACGGCCCAGACUCCUACGGGAGGCAGCAGUGGGGAAUAUUGCACAAUGGGCGGAAGCCUGAUGCAGCGACGCCGCGUGCGGGAUGACGGCCUUCGGGUUGUAAACCUCUUUCGGCUGGGACGAAGCGAGAGUGACGGUACCUGGUGAAGAAGCACCGGCUAACUACGUG
Molecule: ribosomal RNA, 468 nt
Filed under: uncultured bacterium
Lineage: Bacteria
Description: partial 16S ribosomal RNA
Rfam family: Bacterial small subunit ribosomal RNA
Source: RNAcentral